This is a long non-coding RNA of Tarenaya hassleriana, 521 nucleotides long. RefSeq lists it as uncharacterized. The transcript is spliced from 4 exons. Lineage: Eukaryota; Viridiplantae; Streptophyta; Magnoliopsida; Brassicales; Cleomaceae. The record is from RefSeq and is a predicted model, not a curated record.
CUUCUUCUGGAUAUGGUAUGAGUUUGGGUUGAGAUCGUGUUUUCAUCACCAUUUCGGUCUUAUAAUCGCACGAGUCUGUCUUGGCGUCGGAGUUCAGUUCCUCUGCAGUUACAUCACACUUCCUCUAUAUGCCCUUGUCACUCAGAUGGGUUCAACGAUGAAACGAUCGGUGUUCGACGAGCAAACAUCAAAGGCACUAAAGCAAUGGCACAUGAAGGCGAAGAGAAAGAAUGAGCAAUCUGGACAACUCAACAACUUUCCGGGAAGAGGAGACUUAGGCGGCCAAGAUUUUCCGGCGGACGGACCCCGUCUCCGGCAAAAAUCCAUCGGAGAUAUCGAAUCAGCUCCGGCCAACAUCACCGCAAGUGUUGAUGUCAAGGAAAGAGAUAAGAAUCGCCAGAACGACGACCACAUCUCAACCGGUCCCUAAACCCGCCUCGUGUUUUUUUUUUGUAUACAUCCAUACAUACGUGUACUAUAUAUAUAUAUAUAUGUAUGUAUGUAUAGGUUGAUUGGUUCAC